AUCUAGUUGACGAGUCUUAAAUAGGACGAAACAUGCGUCCUGCAC
This 45-nucleotide non-coding RNA is filed under the name Schistosoma mansoni. Lineage: Eukaryota; Metazoa; Platyhelminthes; Trematoda; Strigeidida; Schistosomatidae. The record is from RNAcentral.